This 99-nucleotide Y RNA is filed under the name Propithecus coquereli (Coquerel's sifaka). RNAcentral describes it as "Y RNA (ENSPCOG00000002746.1)". It matches the Rfam family "Y RNA". From Rfam's summary of the family: Y RNAs are components of the Ro ribonucleoprotein particle (Ro RNP), in association with Ro60 and La proteins. The Y RNAs and Ro60 and La proteins are well conserved, but the function of the Ro RNP is not known. In humans the RNA component can be one of four small RNAs -- hY1, hY3, hY4 and hY5. The record is from Rfam by way of RNAcentral. Lineage: Eukaryota; Metazoa; Chordata; Mammalia; Primates; Indriidae.
GGCUGGUCUAAGUGCAGUGGUGUUUAUGACUAAUUGAUCACAAUCACCUACAGAUUUCUUUGCUUCCCCACUCCCACUGUUUCACUUGACUAGCCUUAA